RNAcentral lists this small nucleolar RNA (92 nucleotides) under Prunus persica (peach). Its description in RNAcentral is "Small nucleolar RNA Z152/R70/R12/". It matches the Rfam family "Small nucleolar RNA Z152/R70/R12/". Rfam says of the family: Z152 is a member of the C/D class of snoRNA which contain the C (UGAUGA) and D (CUGA) box motifs. Most of the members of the box C/D family function in directing site-specific 2'-O-methylation of substrate RNAs. Lineage: Eukaryota; Viridiplantae; Streptophyta; Magnoliopsida; Rosales; Rosaceae. The record is from Rfam by way of RNAcentral.
UUUGCGAUGAUGAGAUGAAACACUGGACGUGUUUUGGGCAGUGGACAAGCUCAUUCAUUCUUACAAAACGACUUCUCCUUCCACUGAGCUCC